ACGUUUGAUGGAUGUAGUAACAGC
RNAcentral lists this non-coding RNA (24 nucleotides) under Arabidopsis thaliana (thale cress). Lineage: Eukaryota; Viridiplantae; Streptophyta; Magnoliopsida; Brassicales; Brassicaceae. The record is from RNAcentral.